RNAcentral lists this ribosomal RNA (464 nucleotides) under uncultured bacterium. RNAcentral describes it as "partial 16S ribosomal RNA". It matches the Rfam family "Bacterial small subunit ribosomal RNA", at positions 338 to 795 of the family's 1533-position model. The record is from RNAcentral.
CCUACGGGCGGCAGCAGUAGGGAAUUUUCGUCAAUGGGCGCAAGCCUGAACGAGCACUGCCGCGUGAACGAGGAAGGUCUUCGGAUCGUAAAGUUCUGUUGAAGGGGAAAAAGAGCGGAGAGAGGAAAUGGUCUCCGAUUGAUAUUACCCUUCGAGGAAGUCACGGCUAACUACGUGCCAGCAGCCGCGGUAAUACGUAGGUGGCGAGGGUUAUCCGGAAUGAUUGGGCGUAAAGGGUGCGUAGGCGGCCUGCUAAGUCUGGAGUGAAAGGUACCGGCUCAACCGGUAUAGGCUCUGGAAACUGGCGAGCUAGAGAGCAGGAGAGGGAGGUGGAACUCCAUGUGUAGCGGUAAAAUGCGUAGAUAUAUAGAAGAACACCAGUGGCGAAGGCGGCCGCCUGGCCUGUUACUGACGCUGAGGCACGAAAGCGUGGGGAGCAAAUAGGAUUAGAUACCCUGGUAGUC